Anneissia japonica is the source of this 1061-nucleotide long non-coding RNA. RefSeq lists it as uncharacterized. The record is from RefSeq and is a predicted model, not a curated record. The transcript is spliced from 3 exons. NCBI's taxonomy places the organism in Eukaryota, Metazoa, Echinodermata, Crinoidea, Comatulida, Comatulidae.
CCAUGACUUCCUUAUACGGUAAAAACAUUUCAUUAUAAGUCUAGUUUCGGAACCAAUCGUGGUUUUUCGACAGAAGCGACGCUAACACAAAGCAUUCAUCGAUUGAUGUUGACACAUGUGGAAUGUUGAAAUUUAGUACGAUUUGACUAUGCGUUUAUUUACCAUUUUCCUCAGAGUCAGAGCUGCGUCCCAGCUAAUCAUAAUUUUUUUAGAGUGUUGAUUUAUGAUGUUUAUUCAUAGAUUAUUCGGAAUACAAAGACAUAAAAUUGUGAUGGACAGAUUAUGGUUGCUGUUGCAGACUCGAAGUGGCAUGUCUCAGCUGAAAUAGGCGAAAAUGUUCAUCCAUGGACGAAGCUAAGUUUUGUUAUUUUUUUUUUAUACUUGUAGAUAGGCUUACUUAAACAUUGAGGUGAGUGUUUUGCAAUGCUUGCAUUGUAGGAGGUAAGUAUAAGUCAAUUUUAUAUAAUGCCUUUUAGUAACUGUAAGCUGAUUCAUCCUACCAAGGAAGGCGGUCCUUGAAGAGGUAAGCGAUGAUGAUUCUGUCGACAAUUUGAGCGAUGAUAAUGAGGACCUUGACUUCCAGUUACUUAUUACAUAAAUUUAUUAUGUAUUAUUUAAAGGGACAUUAGUUUUGAAACUGCAAAAAAGAAAUCAGUCUUGAGCGAAUGCAGACCAACGACAGUUACAAAUGUGCAAUUUCAACUACUUUAAAUGGUGCUAAAACUCAUUCAACCACUGAACUCCAAUAUACCUCAAAUGUCUUGGAAUAGCCUCACCUAUAGAAAAACAAAAACAUGCUGAAAACACAAUUUAGCAGUGACAUCAAUUUAAAUCAAUAUUUUAUCGAUUAGUAUUAACUUUGCUUUGUUGCAUUAAUAGUCAUAUAAAAGUAUGUCUUAAAAGUAUUCAUACUUAUUAUUUGUUGUGUAAGUUUCUUUUGAAUGCUUAUUUAUACCGGAAUGAUUCAUUUGGAUUGUUAACAGAAAGUGCUAGAACAAAUAAUAAAUUAAAAAAUUUUUCUUGUGUUAGGGUAUAUUUGACAAAUUUAACACAAGUUUUUU